Molecule: long non-coding RNA, 1277 nt
Filed under: Populus tremula
Lineage: Eukaryota; Viridiplantae; Streptophyta; Magnoliopsida; Malpighiales; Salicaceae
Description: long non-coding RNA (PTRE_LNC002563)
Source: RNAcentral
UAGAUCAUAGACUAUGUAGAAAGAGACAAUUUAAAACUCGUUGUCUGCAAAAAGUAGCAGCAACAACACUAAAAGACCAGACAUUCAAUGGAUAUAUUAGAUCUCAAUAGGCACAGGUUCAGGCAGUUGCCAAACAUAACUAAAAUUUAGCAUCUCUAACACAAACUUCAACACAACCUCACCGAGGUAACUAGUAGUAUUACGGCAGGAGGUUAGCUACUCUCUUAGAUCUAACUUCUUUUCUGAAGGACCUCCGGCCUAAACUGCACAAACACCAGACAUUUUACAAAUGCAUUAACAAUCACACAAAACACAGAGCAAGGGAGGAAGGCUCUCACUUCUUUGCACUCUCAAAAGAGUAAAAAUCAGUCCCGAAGCAGUUGAUACGGGACCUCCAAAAUGAGCACAAAACUUAAACACAAACAUCAAAUUCAGGUACUUCAGAAAAUGUAAACUUGAGAGCUUCCCUUCAACUCAACCUUCAUAAGAAUAGCAAGAUCAGAUACCAAAGCAAAAUAUUAAAAAAUAUAUAGAAAAAAUGAAAAACCAGAUACCUUGGAAACAUUGGCUUGUCCUGUCUGCAAAUGAACACUUCAAUAAUGUCUAAGAAAUAGACAAGGGAGGUUUGAAGGAGGAAAGAAGAAGGGAUCCCAAGGAAUGCAGGAUAGUGAAUAAAAAAAAUAACAUGAAACUUUAUAAUUUAAUAAUGAUAAUAAUAAUAAUAAUUAUAUUCGAUGACUAUAAAAUAUUCAGUAAGCAUACAGAAAAUUUAUACCGUAGAAAAACCCAAAACUCUUCGAGAGAAGGGAUAGAAUUUCAUUCCCUUUUUAGGGAAAAAAGCUUCAUGGAAUCCCAUUCCCUUUCUUUCAAAAGAUGAUAAAAUAAAGAAUCUCAUUCCCAAAAUCCCCAUUUCCCUCCCUCCCUCACUCCCUCUGCCUCCCUCUCAAGAUCUUAUAGCAAAGCACAACUAAAUAAUACUGUAACUAGAAAUUAAAAAACAAGAAUAACAAAAGGAAACGCAAGUUCAAAAAAGCAACAGAAAAAGUAACGCAAAUUCAAAAAGCAACGCCUCGAAAGAAUAAAAAAAGACAUCCAUUACUAGAUGCAGCACCCAUUUUCUUCUCUCUAUCAGCUAUCAUCCACCCUGCUUCUCUCUCCUUGUCAAAAUCCAGAUCAAACCGAAGCUCCCAUUUUCUUCACUUUCCCAUCAAAACCCUACGAUUUUUAUUUUUGGUUUAUUACUCCCCAUGAAGUAAUAAAAAAAAAAUAAAAAAAAA